RNA transcript from Zea mays, 1617 nucleotides. RefSeq lists it as uncharacterized. Lineage: Eukaryota; Viridiplantae; Streptophyta; Magnoliopsida; Poales; Poaceae. The transcript has 4 exons. The record is from RefSeq and is marked provisional.
CUUACCUACUCGUAACCCGCCCCGGCACCCCUCCCGCCCCGCCCCGAGCAACGCCCGCUAGGCUGCUGUGCUACCCCGCAGUCCCAAUUCCACAGUCCCCACCCCACCAGGUGCACCACGCCGCCACCGCAGCCUCCGCCCCGGCUGCGUUGACCCCCGUUGACCUCCGCCCGCCCGGCCGCCAUGGACCCGCGCUUCCCGCCGCCGGCGCCGUCGUCCUGCUUCGGCGGGGGCGGGGAGCUCCCAGCACGGGGGCACCACCGGCGGGCGCACUCGGAGACGUUCAUCCGGCUGCCCGACGCAGACCUGCUGCUGGACCCGGACGCCGACUUCGGCUUCUCCGACAUCGACUUCCCCUCUCUCUCCGACGACUCGCCCGCGGCGUCCGACCCGACGCCGCAGCCCCAGGCCCCGCCGCUCCAGCCGCCGCUGCAGCAGGCGGCUUCCCCGGCGUCCGCGGCGCCGCCGAGGCCGCCGAGCGGGGCGCACAUGCGGAGCCUCUCCCUCGACGCCGCCUUCUUCGACGGCCUCUCGCUGCAGGGAGGCGGCGGCGGCGGGGGGGUAAGAGGGGGCAUGGCGGGGCACAAGAGGAGCGGCUCCAUGGACGGGGACACCUCGCCGUUCGAGGGCGAGUCGGCGCCGCCGUCCGUGCUGCCGGACUACGCCAAGAAGGCCGUGCCCGACGACAAGCUCGCCGAGCUCGCGCUCCUCGAUCCCAAGCGCGCCAAGAGGAUCCUGGCGAACCGGCAGUCCGCGGCGAGGUCCAAGGAGAGGAAGAUCAAGUACACCAGUGAGCUGGAGAGGAAGGUGCAGACGCUGCAGACAGAGGCCACCACGCUUUCGGCACAGCUCACGCUUCUUCAGAGGGACACCUCUGGUUUAACCACUGAGAACAGGGAGCUGAAACUCCGGUUGCAGGCCAUGGAAGAACAAGCUAAACUUCGAGAUGGUAUGUCCUUGUCUUUCUUUGGAAGGUCUAAAGCCACUGUCAUAUAAGGCCCAGAAAGAGACUCCACUUUUCCUGUUUCAAGAACAUUACGAGGCAAAUGCUCUAAAUGAUGCCUUGAGGGAAGAAGUCCAGCGGCUUAAGAUAGCCGCAGGGCAGGUCCCCAACAUGAACGGGAAUCCCUUCAAUGGAGGACUAUCACAGCAGCAGCAGAUGCCAAGCUAUUUCUCACAACCACAGCAGAUGCAAUACUUCAGCGGCCACCAGGGCCAGCAUCACCAUCCGAAGCAUGACCCCCAGAAUUCUUCAAACGGCGGUGGCCAGCCCUUGAGUGACUCCAUGGAUUUCAUGUGAGGAUUCAGGGGAGACAGCUCAGGAGUGUUGCCUGAGAUCACAUACCAACUUCAACUAAAGUACUGUAAAUGUAGCUGAUGUAUACCAUAUUCAGUGUUAUGAUAUGAACCAUUGUAGUUUAGCUAGCUGUUCCUUGUACCAUUAAUCAAAAGUUCAUUCAUGGUGACAAACCUAUCAUCGCUUUUGUUCUGGCGUUAAAGUAAAUUGGCUUGACUGGUUGACGAGCUGUCGUUGUAAAGUUGUUCCUGUAACAGUGAAGGAAUGGUUUGCGGUUGGAACGUGGUUUUCACGCUGCUGAAAGCCGUUGCAUUUCGUGA